Non-coding RNA from Beta vulgaris subsp. vulgaris (sugar beet), 385 nucleotides. NCBI's taxonomy places the organism in Eukaryota, Viridiplantae, Streptophyta, Magnoliopsida, Caryophyllales, Amaranthaceae. The record is from Rfam.
UAUAAUAAAUACAUUUAAUAUUUAAAAACAAAAAUGGGUAUACGGGCCGGGUUUGGGUUUGAAUCUAUCAUACCUAGUUGGCGGCGGAGAAAGACUCGGCAUUCAGGCGAGCCGCCCGGUGGUGUGGUACGUAGUGGGUUUAGUACGCUCCGCCAAAACGGCUCCGAAACAAACAAAAAGGUGCGUGCCGCACUCACGAGGGACUGCCAGUGAUAUACUGGAGGAAGGUGGGGAUGACGUCAAGUCCGCAUGGCCCUUACGGGCUGGGCCACACACGUGCUACAAUGGCAAUUACAAUGGGAAGCAAGGCUGUAAGGCGGAGCGAAUCCGGAAAGAUUGCCUCAGUUCGGAUUGUUCUCUGCAACUCGAGAACAUGAAGUUGGAA